This 797-nucleotide ribosomal RNA is filed under the name uncultured bacterium. Its description in RNAcentral is "bacterial SSU rRNA". It matches the Rfam family "Bacterial small subunit ribosomal RNA", at positions 79 to 863 of the family's 1533-position model. The record is from RNAcentral.
UGCACCUUUCAAGUGAGUGGCGAACGCCCGAGUAACACGUGGACAACCUGCCUCAAGGCUGGGGAUAACACUUGGAAACAGAUGCUAAUACCGAAUAAAACUUAGUGUCGCAUGACACAAAGUUAAAAGGCGCUUCGGCGUCACCUAGAGAUGGAUCCGCGGUGCAUUAGUUAGUUGGUGGGGUAAAGGCCUACCAAGACAAUGAUGCAUAGCCGAGUUGAGAGACUGAUCGGCCACAUUGGGACUGAGACACGGCCCAAACUCCUACGGGAGGCUGCAGUAGGGAAUCUUCCACAAUGGGCGAAAGCCUGAUGGAGCAACGCCGCGUGUGUGAUGAAGGCUUUCGGGUCGUAAAGCACUGUUGUAUGGGAAGAACAGCUAGAAUAGGAAAUGAUUUUAGUUUGACGGUACCAUACCAGAAAGGGACGGCUAAAUACGUGCCAGCAGCCGCGGUAAUACGUAUGUCCCGAGCGUUAUCCGGAUUUAUUGGGCGUAAAGCGAGCGCAGACGGUUUAUUAAGUCUGAUGUGAAAGCCCGGAGCUCAACUCCGGAAUGGCAUUGGAAACUGGUUAACUUGAGUGCAGUAGAGGUAAGUGGAACUCCAUGUGUAGCGGUGGAAUGCGUAGAUAUAUGGAAGAACACCAGUGGCGAAGGCGGCUUACUGGACUGCAACUGACGUUGAGGCUCGAAAGUGUGGGUAGCAAACAGGAUUAGAUACCCUGGUAGUCCACACCGUAAACGAUGAACACUAGGUGUUAGGAGGUUUCCGCCUCUUAGUGCCGAAGCUAACGCAUUAA